CCCGCACAAGCGGUGGAGCAUGUGGUUUAAUUCGACGCAACGCGAAGAACCUUACCUGGGCUUGACAUCCCGAUCGUACCUGCUGGAAACAGCGGGGUCAGUUCGGCUGGAUCGGAGACAGGUGCUGCAUGGCUGUCGUCAGCUCGUGUCGUGAGAUGUUGGGUUAAGUCCCGCAACGAGCGCAACCCUUGUCCUUAGUUGCCAUCAUUUAGUUGGGCACUCUAAGGAGACUGCCGGUGUUAAACCGGAGGAAGGUGGGGAUGACGUCAAGUCAGCAUGGCCUUUAUAUCCUGGGCUACACACACGCUACAAUGGGAAGGGACAAUAGGUUGCGAAGCCGCGAGGCGGAGCCAAUCCAGCAAAACUUCCCUCAGUUCAGAUUGCAGGCUGCAACUCGCCUGCAUGAAGUUGGAGUUGCUAGUAAACGCAGGUCAGCCAUACUGCGUUGAAUACGUUCCCGGGGCUU
Molecule: ribosomal RNA, 466 nt
Filed under: uncultured Desulfuromonas sp.
Lineage: Bacteria; Pseudomonadati; Thermodesulfobacteriota; Desulfuromonadia; Desulfuromonadales; Desulfuromonadaceae
Description: bacterial SSU rRNA
Rfam family: Bacterial small subunit ribosomal RNA
Source: RNAcentral